CCUACGGGUGGCAGCAGUGAGGAAUAUUGGUCAAUGGGCGCGAGCCUGAACCAGCCAAGUAGCGUGAAGGAUGACUGCCCUACGGGUUGUAAACUUCUUUUAUAAAGGAAUAAAGUGAGGCACGUGUGCCUUAUUGUAUGUACUUUAUGAAUAAGGAUCGGCUAACUCCGUGCCAGCAGCCGCGGUAAUAAGGAGGAUCCGAGCGUUAUCCUGAUUUAUUGGGUUUAAAGGGAGCGUAGAUGGGUUGUUAAGUAAGUUGUGAAAGUUUGCGACUCAACCGUAAAAUUGCAAUUGAUACUGGCAGUCUUGAGUACAGUUGAGGUAGGCGGAAUUCGUGGUGUAGCGGUGAAAUGCUUAGAUAUCACGAAGAACUCCGAUGGCGAAGGCAGCUUACUAAACUGCCACUGACAUUGAUGCUCGAAAGUGUGGGUAGCAAACAGGAUUAGAUACCCGAGUAGUC
This 460-nucleotide ribosomal RNA is filed under the name uncultured bacterium. Its description in RNAcentral is "partial 16S ribosomal RNA". It matches the Rfam family "Bacterial small subunit ribosomal RNA", at positions 338 to 795 of the family's 1533-position model. The record is from RNAcentral.